Molecule: ribosomal RNA, 591 nt
Filed under: Clostridioides difficile
Lineage: Bacteria; Bacillati; Bacillota; Clostridia; Peptostreptococcales; Peptostreptococcaceae
Description: partial 23S ribosomal RNA
Rfam family: Bacterial large subunit ribosomal RNA
Source: RNAcentral
CUUGACGUAGACCCGAAACCGGGCGACCUACCCAUGAGCAGGAUGAAGCGAAAGUAAAAUUUCGUGGAGGUCCGAACCCACGAGCGUUGAAAAGCUCGGGGAUGACUUGUGGGUAGCGGUGAAAUUCCAAUCGAGCCCGGAGAUAGCUGGUUCUCCCCGAAAUAGCUUUAGGGCUAGCCUCAAGGUGAGAGAUACGGAGGUAGAGCACUGAAUGUCCUAGGGGGUAUUGCACCUACCGAAGACUAUCAAACUCCGAAUGCCGUCAUCUUAUACUUGGGAGUCAGACUGUGGGUGAUAAGAUUCAUAGUCGAAAGGGCAACAGCCCAGAUCGUCAGCUAAGGUCCCUAAAUGUAAGUUAAGUGGUAAAGGAUGUGGGAUUGCACAGACAACCAGGAUGUUGGCUUAGAAGCAGCCACUCAUUCAAAGAGUGCGUAAUAGCUCACUGGUCGAGUGAUCCUGCGCCGAAGAUUUCCGGGGCUAAAACUUACUACCGAAGCUACGGCAUCAGUAAUGAUGGGUAGGGGAGCUUCCCAUACGGGUUGAAGCAUGACCGUAAGGACAUGUGGACAGUAUGGGAGUGAGAAUGUUGGC